Molecule: unclassified non-coding RNA, 235 nt
Filed under: plant metagenome
Description: partial contains small subunit ribosomal RNA, internal transcribed spacer 1, and 5.8S ribosomal RNA
Source: RNAcentral
UUUCCGUAGGUGAACCUGCGGAAGGAUCAUUAAAGUUAUAGUCCCCUGGCCCUUUCGGGUUGGGGUCUUCUAUACCACCCUUUGUUUAUUACACCUUUGUUGCUUUGGCAGGCCCGCCUUCGGGCUGCUGGCUCCGGCCGGCGAGCGUCUGCCAGAGGACCUAAACUCUGUUUGUCUAUACUGUCUGAGUACUAUAUAAUAGUUAAAACUUUCAACAACGGAUCUCUUGGUUCUG